RNAcentral lists this ribosomal RNA (458 nucleotides) under uncultured bacterium. RNAcentral's name for it is "partial 16S ribosomal RNA". It matches the Rfam family "Bacterial small subunit ribosomal RNA", at positions 338 to 795 of the family's 1533-position model. The record is from RNAcentral.
CCUACGAGUGGCAGCAGUGAGGAAUAUUUGUCAAUGGGCGAGAGCCUGAACCAGCCAAGUCGCGUGAGGGAGUACUGCCCUAUUGGUUGUACACCUCUUUUGUCGGGGCGCAAAAGCCGGACGUGUCCGGCUGUGAGAGUACCCGAAGAAAAAGCAUCGGCUAACUCCGUGCCAGCAGCCGCGGUAAUACGGAGGAUGCGAGCGUUAUCCGGAUUUAUGGGGUUUAAAGGGUGCGCAGGCGGAUUUUUAAGUCAGCGGUAAAAUCGUGGGGCUCAACCCCAUCCAGCCGUUGAAACUGGGGAUCUAGAGUGUGCGAGAGGUAUGCGGAAUGCGUGGUGUAGCGGUGAAAUGCAUAGAUAUCACGCAGAACCCAGAUUGCGAAGGAAGCAUACCGGUGCACAACUGACGCUCAGGCACGAAAGCGUGGGUAUCGAACAGGAUUAGAUACCCUAGUAGUC